GACGAACGCUGGCGGUGUGCUUAACACAUGCAAGUCGAACGGAAAGGCCCUGCUUUUGUGGGGUGCUCGAGUGGCGAACGGGUGAGUAACACGUGAGUAACCUGCCCUUGACUUUGGGAUAACCUCAGGAAACUGGGGCUAAUACCGGAUAGGAGCUCCUGCUGCAUGGUGGGGGUUGGAAAGUUUCGGCGGUUGGGGAUGGACUCGCGGCUUAUCAGCUUGUUGGUGGGGUAGUGGCUUACCAAGGCUUUGACGGGUAGCCGGCCUGAGAGGGUGACCGGCCACAUUGGGACUGAGAUACGGCCCAGACUCCUACGGGAGGCAGCAGUGGGGAAUAUUGCACAAUGGGCGGAAGCCUGAUGCAGCAACGCCGCGUGCGGGAUGACGGCCUUCGGGUUGUAAACCGCUUUCGCCUGUGACGAAGCGUGAGUGACGGUAAUGGGUAAAGAAGCACCGGCUAACUACGUG
This 468-nucleotide ribosomal RNA is filed under the name uncultured bacterium. Its description in RNAcentral is "partial 16S ribosomal RNA". It matches the Rfam family "Bacterial small subunit ribosomal RNA", at positions 28 to 507 of the family's 1533-position model. The record is from RNAcentral.